UCAGAGAAUAUCUAGGUGAGUUACUUGUCAACUUCAUAGGACGGAGACAACAGUGUCCAGCUACCAGAGCAAGACAGUCUGAGCAAACCCAGGACACUGAAUUACCGACUGAAGUGAUGAGUCCACAGCUGAGACUUGCCUCAACCCUUCGGGUCCAAUAAGGAAUCAGGAUCAGGUGUGAGAGAGGAGUGCCUGAUGUUAUGAUUUGGAGAGUACUGAGUCUCAGAUGUUCACACUGAUGGAAAAUGCAAGCACAAAAACCUAGAAUUUUAAAGGCCUUCUCUGAGAUCAUCCAGUACAAAUACCCAAAUGGUAAACCUGUCCCUAAAGCCCUUCUGAGCAGAUGGUCAUGGAGCCCGCCCCUUGCUGUACAGUCUGCCAAAUUCUCAAAGAGAAAUGUGAUGUCUUCUACAAAGUCUUUUAUUUGAAGUAUUCCACAAUGUCUGUCACUUCCUGAAAUUCAAAGUCUUUCAUUCUUGAAAUCCUAAAUUGCCCACACAUUUUGUGGCGGUACCAAUGGUCCAUGAGUUGACAUCUAGCGUCUGCCUGGAUCCCAACAUCCACCUAUUGCUGUG
Molecule: long non-coding RNA, 575 nt
Organism: Molossus molossus (Pallas's mastiff bat)
Lineage: Eukaryota; Metazoa; Chordata; Mammalia; Chiroptera; Molossidae
Exons: 4
Source: RefSeq, a predicted model, not a curated record